Nocardiopsis sp. JB363 is the source of this 74-nucleotide transfer RNA. It matches the Rfam family "tRNA". From Rfam's summary of the family: Transfer RNA (tRNA) molecules are approximately 80 nucleotides in length. Their secondary structure includes four short double-helical elements and three loops (D, anti-codon, and T loops). NCBI's taxonomy places the organism in Bacteria, Bacillati, Actinomycetota, Actinomycetes, Streptosporangiales, Nocardiopsidaceae. The record is from Rfam.
GGCUAGGUAGCUCAGUCGGUACGAGCGUCCGCCUGAAAAGCGGAAGGUCGGCGGUUCGACCCCGCCCCUAGCCA